AAGUCGUAACAAGGUCUCCGUUGGUGAACCAGCGGAGGGAUCAUUACCGAGUUUCCAACUCACAACCCACUGCGAACAUACCUACGUUGCUUCGGCGGUCCCCCGGCUCCGGCCGGCGCCGCCGAGGAACCCCAAACUCUUGUUUUUCCAUGUGUAAUUCUGAGUAACUUGAAAUAAAUCAAAACCUUCAACAACGGAUCUCUUGGCUCUGGCAUCGAUGAAGAACGCAGCGAAAUGCGAAAAGUAAUGUGAAUUGCAGAAUUCAGUGAACCAUCGAAUCUUUGAACGCACAUUGCGCCCGCUGGUACUCCGGCGGGCACGCCUGUCCGAGCGUCAUUUCAACCCUCAGACCCCGCCCUCACGGGCGCGGGGCUGGUGUUGGGGCCCGGCCGCCACCCCGGCGGCCGUCCCCUAAAUUCAGUGGCGGUCACGCCGCGAUCCCCUGCGUAGUAACACACCUCGCACCGGAGAGCGACGCGGUCCACGCCGUGAAACCCCCAAUUUUCAAUGGUUGACCUCGGAUCAAUGGGAAUACCCGCUGAACUUAA
This 548-nucleotide ribosomal RNA is filed under the name uncultured fungus. RNAcentral's name for it is "eukaryotic LSU rRNA". The stretch from base 183 to 336 matches the Rfam family "5.8S ribosomal RNA". Lineage: Eukaryota; Fungi. The record is from RNAcentral.